GUCCCACGGGGCGCAGCAGUGAGGAAUAUUGGUCAAUGGGAGAGAUCCUGAACCAGCCAAGCCGCGUGAGGGAAGACGGCCCUAUGGGUUGUAAACCUCUUUUGUCGGAGAACAAAACCCGGGACGAGUCCCGGACUGCGUGUAUCCGAAGAAAAAGCAUCGGCUCACUCCGUGCCAGCAGCCGCGGUAAUACGGAGGAUGCGAGCGUUAUCCGGAUUUAUUGGGUUUAAAGGGUGCGUAGGCGGUCCUUUAAUUCAGCGGUAUAAUUGCGGUGCU
RNAcentral lists this ribosomal RNA (276 nucleotides) under uncultured bacterium. RNAcentral's name for it is "partial 16S ribosomal RNA". It matches the Rfam family "Bacterial small subunit ribosomal RNA", at positions 335 to 609 of the family's 1533-position model. The record is from RNAcentral.